This 335-nucleotide unclassified non-coding RNA is filed under the name soil metagenome. RNAcentral describes it as "partial contains 5.8S ribosomal RNA, internal transcribed spacer 2, and large subunit ribosomal RNA". The stretch from base 1 to 120 matches the Rfam family "5.8S ribosomal RNA", at positions 35 to 154 of the family's 154-position model. The record is from RNAcentral.
GAUGAAGAACGUAGCGAAAUGCGAUAAGUAGUGUGAAUUGCAGAAUUCAGUGAAUCAUCGAAUCUUUGAACGCACAUUGCGCCCCUUGGUAUUCCAUGGGGCAUGCCUGUUCGAGCGUCAUUCAAACCUUCAAGCUCUGCUUGGUGUUGGGCGUCUGUCCUGCCUCACGGCGCGGACUCGCCUCAAAUCUAUUGGCGGCCGGCACGUUGGCUUCGAGCGCAGCAGAAACGCGAACUCGAGACCGGCGGAUCGGCUCCCAGAAGCUACCCCCAUGAAUUUGACCUCGGAUCAGGUAGGGAUACCCGCUGAACUUAAGCAUAUCAAUAAGCGGAGGA